GUGGGGAAUAUUGGACAAUGGGCGAAAGCCUGAUCCAGCCAUGCCGCGUGUGUGAAGAAGGUCUUCGGAUUGUAAAGCACUUUAAGUUGGGAGGAAGGGUAGUAACCUAAUACGUUGCUACUUUGACGUUACCGACAGAAUAAGCACAGGCUAACUUCGUGCCAGCAGCCGCGGUAAUACUAAGGGUGCAAGCGUUAAUCGGAAUUACUGGGCGUAAAGCGCGCGUAGGUGGUUCAGUAAGUUGGAAGUGAAAUCCCCGGGCUCAACCUGGGAACUGCUUUCAAAACUGCUGAGCUAGAGUACGGUAGAGGGUGGUGGAAUUUCCGGUGUAGCGGUGAAAUGCGUAGUUAUAGGAAGGAACACCAGUGGCGAAGGCGACCACCUGGACUGAUACUGACACUGAGGUGCGAAAGCGUGGGGAGCAAACAGGAUUAGAAACCCCAGUAGUCC
RNAcentral lists this ribosomal RNA (450 nucleotides) under uncultured bacterium. RNAcentral's name for it is "partial 16S ribosomal RNA". It matches the Rfam family "Bacterial small subunit ribosomal RNA", at positions 354 to 796 of the family's 1533-position model. The record is from RNAcentral.